This 254-nucleotide ribosomal RNA is filed under the name uncultured bacterium. RNAcentral's name for it is "partial 16S ribosomal RNA". It matches the Rfam family "Bacterial small subunit ribosomal RNA", at positions 524 to 776 of the family's 1533-position model. The record is from RNAcentral.
UACGGGGGGAGCAAGCGUUGUUCGGAUUUACUGGGCGUAAAGGGCGCGUAGGCGGUCGUGCCAAGUCACUUGUGAAAUCUCCGGGCUUAACUCGGAACGGUCAAGUGAUACUGUCGGACUAGAGUACAGAAGGGGCAACUGGAAUUCUCGGUGUAGCGGUGAAAUGCGCAGAUAUCAGGAGGAACACCGGUGGCGAAGGCGGGUCUCUGGGCCAUAACUGACGCUGAGGAGCGAAAGCGUGGGGAGCGAACAGG